GGCAACCUGCUUGCGUUUCCUGCCGUGUUCGUGUUGCUUGUUUAUUCUUUGGGUUUACGCUGAUUUUUAAAGAGUUGGAAGAUUCAACAUCAAGGUCUGCACGAGGCUAGCAGUUCACGUUUGUAAGCCUGUGAGACCGUGACUCCUCCAGGAAGAACGGGUGAACAGCUCCAGUAUGCGCUGCCUUUAAGAGCUGUCACACUCAUCUUGAAUGCCUGCAGCUUCACUCUUGAAGUCAGCCAGACCGCAAACCCACUGGGAAGAGAGAACAGAUUCCAGACACACCGUUUUUAAGAGCUGUAACACCGCGCGCCUCGCGGCUGCAUACUUGAAGUCAGUAAGACCAAGAAUCUGCCACAUCCGGACUUAUAUUAAUGAGCAAUAUUUAAUUAAAAGCUAAUUGAAUAUUCCAAGCGGCAAUUAUCUUGCAAUAGAGAUGCCAAAUCUGACAUGAGGAGGCAGGUGAGCAGAAAGCAGAACUUGUAUAAUUAUUCCUCUGAGAGAUGGAGAAGAGACCACACCAAGCAUUGCCACAGUGAGAGAUUAGUGAAGAUUCUGCCCUAAACAAAACCAUUUCCUUCGUUGAGCUUAUAUUGUACUUUAUUCAUCAGGAAAGGAAGAAAAGCAGGCCCAAGAUUAUUCUGAGACAACUGGAGGGUAAGAUUCUGAAAAUGAACCUGUGACAAGACUUAAGUAGAGAAGUACUGUGUUUCACAUUUUGAGCCAACCAGAUAAUCUGUGGAUACAUUUUGUAGUCCAUUGUAGAUUCCCAAACAACCAGAUGCCUUUUUUCUUCUUUGGAAUCAGUAGGAUUUAAAUAAUAUGCCUGGAAGACUUCUGAACCACUAGCAUCUUCAAGUUCCUGGCUAAAUUUACAGCCUCUUGUGUUCAGCACCUGGAUUGUGCUCAGGAUGGCAAGAGAACAAAGCAAUCUGCUUGCUGUACUUGGGAUAGAGAAGACCUGCACGAGAAAGCCAGAUAUUCAAGAUGGUGUGAUUUCUAUCACAAGCUCUGAAGAUGCUGUACAUCCAUGAUCUCAUUUCAACCUCUCAACAGCUUUAUGAGACAGGUAUUGUUAUUAUUUCCAUUUACAGAGGGAAAAAUGGAAACUUAGAGAAAUAAAUCACAUGCCCAAGUAGCUGGAGUACUUGAGAUCCAAAUUUAAGCCAGCUUCCCUGAGUUCACACUCUUAAUUACUAUACUGUAUUGCAUCUAAGGCUUCCUGUUUUCCUGCCUGGCCCAUUUAUUCAGUCACUCAUUGUACCAUAUUGUUAGUUCCCUGUUGGUCCUUCUGUUCAUGGCCUAUAGAAACUUACUGAAAGAAAAGAAUGUUCUGACAAGACAUGUUCUAGAGCCUGCUCUGUUGCCUUCAUACAUCUUUUUUCCCGUUACCCCUCUUAACUAUUAUUUUGCAGAUAAGUAAAGAAGGCUCUUUCAGGUUAGAUUCUCUAGAAGCAGACUCUGAGAUGAGGAUUCCUGUGGAGGGGAUUUAUUAGGAUGUGUUCCUAGUAGGAGCGAAGAAUUCGGGACUGGGAAGGGAAGAAGGCCACACAAGGGUAUUCAGCUUUGGCUCAAAACCACAAAAGCCUCAUAAUCACAGUGGGUCUAACCUUGGAGGUGUCCUCUUGGCAAGGCAAGGUGAUUGGGGUAUUUAUGUCCUCUGUACACAACAGGGCAGACACUAAGAGUUGCACACAUUCUCAGCCCUUUAGGCGCUCUGUCAGCCUGAAGGCAGCCUCUGACAAAAAGAUGGAGUGAGGCCUUUGAGAAAGAAGAAAAUAAGCCAGUCUGCACAAAAAUGGGAUGAGAGAAGAAAUGAGCAGAGCCCUGGCAACAUCUUUCAGAGGCCUAAUGAGAGGAUAUGAGUUUCUUCAAAGUGGCAGAGCUGCAAAUAAAACCUAGUUUAAUUCA
Molecule: non-coding RNA, 1911 nt
Organism: Macaca mulatta (Rhesus monkey)
Lineage: Eukaryota; Metazoa; Chordata; Mammalia; Primates; Cercopithecidae
Source: RefSeq, a predicted model, not a curated record